CUCCGAUUCAGUUCUGACACUCUCUACCUAAAGACCGCGUCCGAUCCCAGAGGUUGAGGGCUCUGGGUGUCCUCCGAUUCAGUUCUGACACUCUCUACCUAAAGACCGCGUCAGAUCCCAGAGGUUGAGGGCUCAGUCUCACAAGACUGCCCCCCGACUUCCGCCGCCAACCGCAAGCCCCUGGUUGUUUUACCUGUGCUUCUGACCAAGCAGGACAUCAUGACCUCCAGUGUGCAUUCAACCUAACAGAGCUGCUAAACUCAUUGCCUUUCUGCUCUGCCUCUCCUCUCUCCUGCAACACCCUCUCUGUCUCAUAAAUAUAGUCACAAUUUUCUCAUGGUUUAAGCCAAGAAACAGUUAAAAACUCUAAAGUCUUUUAUCCAAUGCAUUAAAAAACUGAGAUACUAAAUUAGAUAAGUUGUUAUCCGGUAGAACUCACGAAAGAAUCAAAUGUUCUCGACAAAAUUUAGAACAAAAUUUGACCCUGGAAAAUGGAGGUGAUAGAAAUAAAGUCCACAAAAGGAAACUUG
RNAcentral lists this long non-coding RNA (530 nucleotides) under Homo sapiens (human). RNAcentral describes it as "non-protein coding lnc-ANP32A-2:5". The record is from RNAcentral. Lineage: Eukaryota; Metazoa; Chordata; Mammalia; Primates; Hominidae.